This 74-nucleotide transfer RNA is filed under the name Neotoma lepida (desert woodrat). It matches the Rfam family "tRNA". From Rfam's summary of the family: Transfer RNA (tRNA) molecules are approximately 80 nucleotides in length. Their secondary structure includes four short double-helical elements and three loops (D, anti-codon, and T loops). Lineage: Eukaryota; Metazoa; Chordata; Mammalia; Rodentia; Cricetidae. The record is from Rfam by way of RNAcentral.
AGAGAGAUGGCUUAGUGGUUAAGAGCACUGACUGAUGUUCCAGAGGAGCUGGGUUCAAUUCCCAGGUUGUUCCA